CCUACGGGGGGCAGCAGUGGGGAAUAUUGGACAAUGGGCGAAAGCCUGAUCCAGCCAUGCCGCGUGUGUGAAGAAGGCCUUCGGGUUGUAAAGCACUUUCAGUGGGGAAGAAAGCCUUGGGGCUAAUACCCUCGAGGAAGGACAUCACCCACAGAAGAAGCACCGGCUAACUCCGUGCCAGCAGCCGCGGUAAUACGUAGGGUGCGAGCGUUAAUCGGAAUUACUGGGCGUAAAGCGCGCGUAGGCGGUCUGAUAAGCCGGUUGUGAAAGCCCCGGGCUCAACCUGGGAACGGCAUCCGGAACUGUCAGGCUAGAGGGCAGGAGAGGAAGGUAGAAUUCCCGGUGUAGCGGUGAAAUGCGUAGAGAUCGGGCGGAAUACCAGUGGCGAAGGCGGCCUUCUGGACUGACACUGACGCUGAGGUGCGAAAGCGUGGGUAGCAAACAGGAUUAGAUACCCGGGUAGUC
RNAcentral lists this ribosomal RNA (465 nucleotides) under Vreelandella stevensii. RNAcentral describes it as "partial 16S ribosomal RNA". It matches the Rfam family "Bacterial small subunit ribosomal RNA", at positions 338 to 795 of the family's 1533-position model. The record is from RNAcentral. Lineage: Bacteria; Pseudomonadati; Pseudomonadota; Gammaproteobacteria; Oceanospirillales; Halomonadaceae.